CGCACGGGUGAGUAACGCGUGAGAAUCUGCCUUCAGGAUGGGGAUAACAGCGGGAAACUGCUGCUAAUACCCAAUGUGCCGAGAGGUGAAAGUAUUUCGCCUGAAGAGGAGCUCGCGUCUGAUUAGCUAGUUGGUGUGGUAAGAGCGCACCAAGGCAACGAUCAGUAGCUGGUCUGAGAGGAUGAGCAGCCACACUGGGACUGAGACACGGCCCAGACUCCUACGGGAGGCAGCAGUGGGGAAUUUUCCGCAAUGGGCGAAAGCCUGACGGAGCAAUACCGCGUGAGGGAAGAAGGUUCAAGUAAUUGUAAACCUCUUUUAUCAGGGAAGAAAAAAAUGACGUUACCUGAAGAAAAAGCAUCGGCUAACUCCGUGCCAGCAGCCGCGGUAAUACGGAGGAUGCAAGCGUUAUCCGGAAUUAUUGGGCGUAAAGCGUCCGCAGGUGGUGAAACAAGUCUGCUGUCAAAGACCAGAGCUUAACUCUGGGAAGGCGGUGGAAACUGUAGCACUAGAGACCGGUAGGGGUAGAGGGAAUUCCCAGUGUAGCGGUGAAAUGCGUAGAGAUUGGGAAGAACACCAGUGGCGAAAGCGCUCUACUGGGCCGGAACUGACACUAAGGGACGAAAGCUAGGGGAGCGAAAGGGAUUAGAUACCCCUGUAGUC
Molecule: ribosomal RNA, 663 nt
Filed under: uncultured cyanobacterium
Lineage: Bacteria; Bacillati; Cyanobacteriota
Description: bacterial SSU rRNA
Rfam family: Bacterial small subunit ribosomal RNA
Source: RNAcentral